RNAcentral lists this ribosomal RNA (253 nucleotides) under uncultured bacterium. RNAcentral's name for it is "partial 16S ribosomal RNA". It matches the Rfam family "Bacterial small subunit ribosomal RNA", at positions 524 to 776 of the family's 1533-position model. The record is from RNAcentral.
UACGUAGGGUGCGAGCGUUAAUCGGAAUUACUGGGCGUAAAGCGUGCGUAGGCGGUUCGUUAAGUUCGUUGUGAAAGCCCCGGGCUCAACCUGGGAAUGGCAAUGGAAACUGGCGGGCUGGAGUAUGGCAGAGGGGGGUGGAAUUCCGCAUGUAGCAGUGAAAUGCGUAGAGAUGCGGAGGAACACCGAUGGCGAAGGCAGCCCCCUGGGCCAAUACUGACGCUCAGGCACGAAAGCGUGGGGAGCAAACAGG